GACGAACGCUGGCGGCGUGCUUAACACAUGCGAGUCGAACGGAAAGGCCCUGCUUUUGUGGGGUGCUCGAGUGGCGAACGGGUGAGUAACACGUGAGUAACCUGCCCUUGACUUUGGGAUAACUUCAGGAAACUGGGGCUAAUACCGGAUAGGAGCUCCUGCUGCAUGGUGGGGGUUGGAAAGUUUCGGCGGUUGGGGAUGGACUCGCGGCUUAUCAGCUUGUUGGUGGGGUAGUGGCUUACCAAGGCUUUGACGGGUAGCCGGCCUGAGAGGGUGACCGGCCACAUUGGGACUGAGAUACGGCCCAGACGCCUACGGGAGGCAGCAGUGGGGAAUAUUGCACAAUGGGCGGAAGCCUGAUGCAGCAACGCCGCGUGCGGGAUGACGGCCUUCGGGUUGUAAACCGCUUUCGCCUGUGACGAAGCGUGAGUGACGGUAAUGGGUAAAGAAGCACCGGCUAACUACG
Molecule: ribosomal RNA, 466 nt
Filed under: uncultured bacterium
Lineage: Bacteria
Description: partial 16S ribosomal RNA
Rfam family: Bacterial small subunit ribosomal RNA
Source: RNAcentral